RNAcentral lists this ribosomal RNA (466 nucleotides) under uncultured Syntrophus sp. RNAcentral describes it as "bacterial SSU rRNA". It matches the Rfam family "Bacterial small subunit ribosomal RNA", at positions 338 to 795 of the family's 1533-position model. Lineage: Bacteria; Pseudomonadati; Thermodesulfobacteriota; Syntrophia; Syntrophales; Syntrophaceae. The record is from RNAcentral.
CCUACGGGUGGCUGCAGUGAGGAAUAUUGCGCAAUGGGGGCAACCCUGACGCAGCAACGCCGCGUGAGUGAGGAAGGUUUUCGGAUCGUAAAGCUCUGUCGGGUGGGAAGAAAUGUAUGGAGGUUAACAGCCUUUGUACUUGACGGUACCGCCAAAGGAAGCACCGGCUAACUCCGUGCCAGCAGCCGCGGUAAUACGGGGGGUGCUAGCGUUGUUCGGAAUCAUUGGGCGUAAAGAGCGUGUAGGCGGCUAGGCAAGUCAGAUGUGAAAUCCCUGGGCUUAACCCAGGACGUGCAUUUGAAACUGCUUGGCUUGAGUAGGGAAGAGGGAAGUGGAAUUCCUGGUGUAGAGGUGAAAUUCGUAGAUAUCAGGAGGAACACCGGUGGCGAAGGCGACUUCCUGGCCCUAUACUGACGCUGAGACGCGAGAGCGUGGGGAGCAAACAGGAUUAGAUACCCGUGUAGUC